Molecule: unclassified non-coding RNA, 216 nt
Filed under: Hevea brasiliensis (rubber tree)
Lineage: Eukaryota; Viridiplantae; Streptophyta; Magnoliopsida; Malpighiales; Euphorbiaceae
Source: RNAcentral
GAAGCAGCUUGUAAGUAUGAUAGGCAAAAAUAAUUUGAGGUUUGUCUCUUGAGAGAUAUGUAAUUCCUAUUUCCUCCCUUUGUUUUCAGCCAAUUUUGCUAAGAAACAGUUGGUUGACAAUUACUUAUAUUGGAUUAACUCAUAGUACGAAACAUUUAGAGCUGUUUGUCAUCGAAUUUUUCUUUUGCCUGUUGGUUAGGUGAGGCAACAACCUGC